UGGGGAAUUUUGGACAAUGGCGAAAGCCUGAUCCAGCAAUGCCGCGUGUGUGAAGAAGGCCUUCGGGUUGUAAGCACUUUUGUCCGGGAAAGAAAUCCUUGGCUCUAAUACAGUCGGGGGAUGACGGUACCGGAAGAAUAAGCACCGGCUAACUACGUGCCAGCAGCCGCGGUAAUACNUAGGGUGCAAGCGUUAAUCGGAAUUACUGGGCGUAAAGCGUGCGCAGGCGGUUUGCUAAGACCGAUGUGAAAUCCCGGGCUCAACCUGGGAACUGCAUUGGUGACUGGCAGGCUAGAGUAUGGCAGAGGGGGGUAGAAUUCCACGUGUAGCAGUGAAAGUGCGUAGAGAUGUGGAGGAAUACCGAUGGCGAAGGCAGCCCCCUGGGCCAAUACUG
This 394-nucleotide ribosomal RNA is filed under the name uncultured bacterium. RNAcentral describes it as "partial 16S ribosomal RNA". It matches the Rfam family "Bacterial small subunit ribosomal RNA", at positions 355 to 742 of the family's 1533-position model. The record is from RNAcentral.